This 459-nucleotide ribosomal RNA is filed under the name uncultured bacterium. RNAcentral's name for it is "partial 16S ribosomal RNA". It matches the Rfam family "Bacterial small subunit ribosomal RNA", at positions 338 to 795 of the family's 1533-position model. The record is from RNAcentral.
CCUACGGGUGGCUGCAGUGAGGAAUAUUGGUCAAUGGCCGGAAGGCUGAACCAGCCAUGCCGCGUGAAGGUCAGUGCCCUAUGGGCGUUAAACUUCUUUUGUGCGGGAGCAAUAAUGGUCACGUGUGGCCAGACGAGAGUACCGUACGAAUAAGCAUCGGCUAACUCCGUGCCAGCAGCCGCGGUAAUACGUAGGGGGCGAGCGUUGUCCGGAAUCACUGGGCGUAAAGGGCGCGUAGGCGGUAAUAUAAGUCAGAUGUGAAAGGGGGGGGCUCAACCCCUAGAGUGCAACUGAUACUGUAUAACUUGAGUGUGAGAGAGGGAAGCGGAAUUCCAAGUGUAGCGGUGAAAUGCGUAGAUAUUAGGAGGAACACCAGUGGCGAAGGCGGCUUUCUGGCUCAUAACUGACGCUGAGGCGCGAAAGCGUGGGGAGCAAACAGGAUUAGAUACCCUAGUAGUC